Molecule: ribosomal RNA, 306 nt
Filed under: uncultured bacterium
Lineage: Bacteria
Description: bacterial SSU rRNA
Rfam family: Bacterial small subunit ribosomal RNA
Source: RNAcentral
AUUGAACGCUGGCGGAAUGCUUUACACAUGCAAGUCGAACGGUAGAGGGGGCAACCCCUUGAGAGUGGCGAACGGGUGAGUAAUAUAUCGGAACGUGCCCAGUCGUGGGGAUAACGUAGCGAAAGUUACGCUAAUACCGCAUACGAUCUAAGGAUGAAAGCGGGGGAUCGCAAGACCUCGCGCGAUUGGAGCGGCCGAUAUCAGAUUAGGUAGUUGGUGAGGUAAAGGCUCACCAAGCAACGAUCUGUAGCUGGUCCGAGAGGACGACCAGCCACACUGGAACUGAGACACGGUCCAGACUCCUAC